This 404-nucleotide ribosomal RNA is filed under the name uncultured Gemmobacter sp. RNAcentral's name for it is "bacterial SSU rRNA". It matches the Rfam family "Bacterial small subunit ribosomal RNA", at positions 355 to 776 of the family's 1533-position model. The record is from RNAcentral. Lineage: Bacteria; Pseudomonadati; Pseudomonadota; Alphaproteobacteria; Rhodobacterales; Paracoccaceae.
UGGGGAAUCUUAGACAAUGGGGGAAACCCUGAUCUAGCCAUGCCGCGUGAUCGAUGAAGGCCUUAGGGUUGUAAAGAUCUUUCAGGUGGGAAGAUAAUGACUGUACCACCAGAAGAAGCCCCGGCUAACUCCGUGCCAGCAGCCGCGGUAAUACGGAGGGGGCUAGCGUUGUUCGGAAUUACUGGGCGUAAAGCGCACGUAGGCGGAUUGGAAAGUUGGGGGUGAAAUCCCGGGGCUCAACCCCGGAACUGCCUUCAAAACUCCCAGUCUUGAGUUCGAGAGAGGUGAGUGGAAUUCCGAGUGUAGAGGUGAAAUUCGUAGAUAUUCGGAGGAACACCAGUGGCGAAGGCGGCUCACUGGCUCGAUACUGACGCUGAGGUGCGAAAGCGUGGGGAGCAAACAGG